This is a long non-coding RNA of Perca fluviatilis (European perch), 438 nucleotides long. RefSeq lists it as uncharacterized. The transcript is spliced from 3 exons. The record is from RefSeq and is a predicted model, not a curated record. NCBI's taxonomy places the organism in Eukaryota, Metazoa, Chordata, Actinopteri, Perciformes, Percidae.
CGUAAUCAGUGCUCACUGCUCAGGUAGAGUGGGGGAGGUGAUAAGAAGGCAGAGUGAAGGGACAGAGGCACAUGGAGAGCACACCAGCAGCACACUUAAACCAUUUUUCUCCACAAGCAGGAAGCACAUGAUGCUGAAAUUGAAAAUGCAGUGAGAGGUCUUCUCAGCUGCAUCCGGAACUUGAAAAAAUCAAAUACGGAGAGGCCUAGCAGUUCUGUUGACCUAAGGCCCAUGGAAUCUCAGGCUGGAACUAGCAGUUCCGUUGAGGUUAACAACCCUGUUCAUCGGGAAAUGCAAAGAUCUUUUCCAGCAAUAUAUGCUGGAAGCCGGGCACGCCAUAAAAGAAAGGCACCUGAACCUCCAAGACCAACAUGUUCGAAAGUAAUAGAACUCCAGUUCUGCCUGCAGCCCGAAAACUCCGAUGGGACACCAAAAGAC